AGUGAACGCUGGCGGUAGGCCUAACACAUGCAAGUCGAACGGCAGCACAGUAAGAGCUUGCUCUUACGGGUGGCGAGUGGCGGACGGGUGAGGAAUACAUCGGAAUCUACUUUUUCGUGGGGGAUAACGUAGGGAAACUUACGCUAAUACCGCAUACGACCUACGGGUGAAAGCAGGGGAUCUUCGGACCUUGCGCGAUUGAAUGAGCCGAUGUCGGAUUAGCUAGUUGGCGGGGUAAAGGCCCACCAAGGCGACGAUCCGUAGCUGGUCUGAGAGGAUGAUCAGCCACACUGGAACUGAGACACGGUCCAGACUCCUACGGGAGGCAGCAGUGGGGAAUAUUGGACAAUGGGCGCAAGCCUGAUCCAGCCAUACCGCGUGUGUGAAGAAGGCCUUCGGGUUGUAAAGACCUUUUGUUGGGAAAGAAAAGCAGCAGGUUAAUACCCCGCUGUUCUGACGGUACCCAAAGAAUAAGCACCGGCUAACUUCGUG
This 492-nucleotide ribosomal RNA is filed under the name uncultured bacterium. Its description in RNAcentral is "partial 16S ribosomal RNA". It matches the Rfam family "Bacterial small subunit ribosomal RNA", at positions 29 to 507 of the family's 1533-position model. The record is from RNAcentral.